Molecule: unclassified non-coding RNA, 290 nt
Filed under: uncultured fungus
Lineage: Eukaryota; Fungi
Description: partial contains small subunit ribosomal RNA, internal transcribed spacer 1, and 5.8S ribosomal RNA
Rfam family: Eukaryotic small subunit ribosomal RNA (bases 1-73)
Source: RNAcentral
GCAAACUUGGUCAUUUAGAGGAAGUAAAAGUCGUAACAAGGUUUCCGUAGGUGAACCUGCGGAAGGAUCAUUACAGAGAACCUGCCUCAAAGUGGGGUAGAUAUCUCCACCCUUUGUUUACUCUACCUUUGUUGCUUUGGCAGGCCCGUCGUAAUGACCACCGGCUUCAGCUGGUCAGUUUGCCUGCCAGAGGACCCUAACUUCUAAAUUUUGUUUGUCAGAGUACUACAACAAUUGUUAAAACUUUCAACAACGGAUCUCUUGGUUCUGGCAUCGAUGAAGAACGCAGC